GACGAACGCUGGCGGCGUGCUUAACACAUGCAAGUCGAGCGGAAAGGCCCUGCUUUUGUGGGGUGCUCGAGUGGCGAACGGGUGAGUAACACGUGAGUAACCUGCCCUUGACUUUGGGAUAACUUCAGGAAACUGGGGCUAAUACCGGAUAGGAGCUCCUGCUGCAUGGUGGGGGUUGGAAAGUUUCGGCGGUUGGGGAUGGACUCGCGGCUUAUCAGCUUGUUGGUGGGGUAGUGGCUUACCAAGGCUUUGACGGGUAGCCGGCCUGAGGGGGUGACCGGCCACAUUGGGACUGAGAUACGGCCCAGACUCCUACGGGAGGCAGCAGUGGGGAAUAUUGCACAAUGGGCGGAAGCCUGAUGCAGCAACGCCGCGUGCGGGAUGACGGCCUUCGGGUUGUAAACCGCUUUCGCCUGUGACGAAGCGUGAGUGACGGUAAUGGGUAAAGAAGCACCGGCUAACUACGUG
This 468-nucleotide ribosomal RNA is filed under the name uncultured bacterium. RNAcentral's name for it is "partial 16S ribosomal RNA". It matches the Rfam family "Bacterial small subunit ribosomal RNA", at positions 28 to 507 of the family's 1533-position model. The record is from RNAcentral.